Molecule: small nuclear RNA, 109 nt
Organism: Camelus dromedarius (Arabian camel)
Lineage: Eukaryota; Metazoa; Chordata; Mammalia; Artiodactyla; Camelidae
Source: Ensembl
GUUGCUGGCUUCUACAGCUACAUGUGCUAAAAUUGGAACAAUACGGAGAAGAUUAGCAUGGCCCCUGGGCAAGAAUGACAUGCAAAUUUGUGAAGGGUCCCCUAUUUUU